This 1285-nucleotide long non-coding RNA is filed under the name Homo sapiens (human). Its description in RNAcentral is "non-protein coding lnc-TAF9B-2:1". Lineage: Eukaryota; Metazoa; Chordata; Mammalia; Primates; Hominidae. The record is from RNAcentral.
GAAGAUCCGGGUGACGCUGCGAACGGACGUGAAGAAUGUGCGAGACCCAGGGUCGGCGCCGCUGCGUUUCCCGGAACCACGCCCAGAGCAGCCGCGUCCCUGCGCAAACCCAGGGCUGCCUUGGAAAAGGCGCAACCCCAACCCCGUGGAAUUCGAGGCUGCCCUACCAGGAUCAAUGCAAAUGCCACCUCCUUUUGGAAAAUCCUGGUUUCCUAGCUCCCUUCAUGGAAUUCUGCUUCUUAAGGCUUACUUAGUAAUAGAGACCUCUCAGAAGUUGGAAGAGGCCCAGGUCCACUCUGGCCCCCACCUUUUUUAAAAUAAAAAAUGCAAUGUAAUUUUUCUGGUUAUGGCAUGAUUGAUGCUAAUGGCAAACACGUGGCAUUUUUCAUAUAUUAACCAACGCUCACAAAACGCAGUAGUGACUACUGUUAUCCUCAUUAGGCAAAUGAAAUAACUGAUGCACAGAGAAGUUUAGUGGGCCAGGCGCGGUGGCUCACGCCUUUAAUCCCGGCACUUUGGGAGGCCAAGGCCGGCAGAUUGCUUGAGCCCAGUGGUUCGAGACCAGCCUGAGCAACAUAGCAAAACCCCAUCUCUACUAAAAAUACAAAAAAUUAGCUAGACGUGGUGGCGGGCACCUGUAGUCCUGUUACCCGUGGAGGGUGUCCAAGUUCUUAGCGUCUUGAACUAAGAACUGGACGAAAUGCACAAAGCAAAGAAAGAAUGAAGCAAUAAAAGCAGAGAUGUAUUGAAAACGAAAGUGUAACCGCCCAAUGGGUUCACCUUGUCCGCUGCCUAGACAGAGCUGAUUUAUGAAGACGGGAAUUGCAAUGGCGAAAGAAUAAUUCACGCUGAGCGCUGUGCGGGAGACCAGAGUUUCAUUAUCACUCAAAUCAGUCUCCCUGAGCAUUCUGGAAUCAGAGUUUUUAAGGAUAAUUUGGCAGAAGCUUCAAGGACUGAAUCCUGACAGGAAACAGGCACCUCCAGGAUUCUCUCCCCAGCAGAAGAUUACUUCAAGACCGGAGUUCCCUCUGGACUGACUGCAAGAUUGAAUGUGAUUGAUUUGUAACCUGUCAGGUCCACAAUGGUGCCAUGGAACAAUAAUUCAAGAUAAGCCAUCAGAGCAAGUCACACCAUUUGGCACCUCCUAGCCCCCUUCCUCUCUUGCAUUCCAAGCCCCUCUUCUUAAACCCUUGCCGUCUCUCCAGAAAUUGGAAAUUGGCAAUUUUUGGAAAGGAUUCCAGCCACUUUCCCCCUCGCUGGCAACGGAUAAUAAAAUUCACUCUCU